CAAUAGCAUAUAUUAAAGUUGUUGCAGUUAAAAAGCUCGUAGUUGGAUUUCUGGCAUGAUGCGCCUGGCCCGCCGUGAUUACGCGUGUGUGUGCUAGUGCGCGUCUGCCAUCCAUUGGCAGAAUAUGUCUACCCUUAAUUGGGCCGGAUAUGUGAUGUCAAUCUUUUACUUUGAAAAAUUAGAGUGUUUAAAGCAGGCAUUUGCUAUGAAUACAUUAGCAUGGAAUAAUAAUCUAGGACUUCGGUUCUAUUUUGUUGGUUUCUUAGAUCUGGAGUAAUGAUUGAUAGGGAUAGUUGGGGGUGGCUAGUAUUAAGGGGCCGAGAGGUGAAAUUCUUGGAUUCUCUUAAGACUAACUUAUGCGAAAGCAUUCACCAAGGAUGUCUUCUUUAAUUCAAGAACGAAAGUUAGGGGGAGUCGAAGACGAUCAGAUACCAU
This 435-nucleotide ribosomal RNA is filed under the name uncultured eukaryote. Its description in RNAcentral is "SSU rRNA". It matches the Rfam family "Eukaryotic small subunit ribosomal RNA", at positions 592 to 1018 of the family's 1831-position model. The record is from RNAcentral.